This 2941-nucleotide long non-coding RNA is filed under the name Canis lupus familiaris (dog). Its description in RNAcentral is "lncRNA (ENSCAFG00040002846.1)". The record is from RNAcentral. Lineage: Eukaryota; Metazoa; Chordata; Mammalia; Carnivora; Canidae.
AUGACGGGAGUCCCCACUGGGCAGCUGGGUGUGGGGGUGUUUUCCAGCUGUGUUGGGGGGCGGGGAGGGAGGCUCCGCGCCCGGAGGAGGAGAGGACCUCAGGCCCUGUGCCUGCCGGGGGCACCGCGGAGGCAGCCGCCCGAAGGGACGAGCGCCACCGCCUCCCGGGGCCGCUGGGGCAGAAAGUUUGGGCCAGGGUUGCGCCCGCCGCGCGGCUCCAGCUUCCCCCGCGGGCCGUGUUGGCCCCUGGAGCGGCCACAGCGGGGAGCAGCAGACCCGGCUCGGGCUGGAGACUCCGCUGGGAGCGCCCCCAGCCGCCCCCCGGAGGGCCCCGCGCUGCUAGCCACCCCCACCGCGGCGCCUACCCUCGCGCACGGCGCAGCGCGCGGCCCCGGGGCUCUUCAGGGAGCCGUGGGAGCCCCUUCCUCCCUUCCGCCCACAACUCCUUUGCGUCCUCCACUCCUCGCGGGAGCCUCCCCGGGGCCUCGGGCAGGCUCUCCGGGGCUGGGUGCGGGGACAGAAGGGCAGCGCACCCCGCGGGGUCCCAGCCCCCGCUCCCACUCGAGGGCUCCGGCCGCCUCCCCGGAUGCGCCCCGCCGGGCCGGGAUCUCCGUGCGCCUCGGCCUCCCCCCGCUGGGGAGUUCCCCGCGCCGGGCAUUGUGCCGCCGCCGCCGCCGCCGCCACCGCCGCCACCACCGCCGCCACCACCGCCGCCACCGCCACCGCCACCGCCGCACGGCGCGCGGGACUCCCCUGCGUCUCCAUGGAGCCCGACCCCGGGGCCUUCCCAUUCACAAAACCGUCCCUCUGGCCUCCGGCUGGGCCACGUGCCCCGACCCCAGCCCGGGAGGGACCCGGGAGGGACCCCGGAACCCAGACCCGGUGCGUGCGGGGACCCCUGACCCCGAGGGCGCCCCCCUCCCCGCGCGCCCCGGGAUGGUCUCGUGCGCCCCUCCCCGGCCGCGCCCCCCCGCCCCCGCCCCCGCCCCCGCCCCCAGCCCGGGCAACGCGAAGGUGAUGACCCGCAGGGCGCGCGCCGGCGAGGGUCGGGGUACUCACGGGCUCAGCGCUCCCCGCGGCAGGUGACGGGGGCCCGGCGGCCAUGCCCCGGCUGCAUCCCGGCCCCGAGCGGGCAGCGGAGCGGGCGGCGAGGGGCGCGGGCCGGGCUCGGCGGCGGCGGCCGCGUGUCCUCCGAGCGGGCGGGCGCUGGAGCGGGGCCGGGCCGGGCCGGGGCGGGCGGCUGUCCGAGGAGGCUCCCGGCUCCGGAGCUGCCCCGCGGCUCGGCGCUCCGCGCUCGCUCCUGCUCGCCGCCGCCUCCUCUCCCUCUGCUCCCCUCCCUCCCGCCCUCCUUCUCCCUCUCUCCUCCCCCUUUCGCUCUCUCCCUCUCCCCGGCUCCUCCGGCUCGCUCGGCUGGAGCGAGGAGACAGCGGGAGCACGCGGCGGCGGCGGCGGCGGCUCGGGCGGAGCGCGCAGCGCGGCGAGGGGGGGCUCGGGCGGAGCGGGCCGGGGACGGCGGCGGGGCGGGGCGGGGCGGGGGGGCGCACCCUGGCGGCCGCAGCGCUGGCCCGCGGAGCCCCGGCGGGGGAGGAGUGAGCGAAGCGCAGGGGUCCCCAGGGCCCGGAGCAGCCCGGUCCCCGCAAGCGCCGCCCUCCAGCCCUGGCCCCGCCUCUCCUCCCUCCCUCCCUCCCGCCUGCCCCCGGGGCGAUCGUGGGCCGGCAGCUCCUCGGAGGACCCCUGCCCUCCCACCUCCCGGGCUCUGGCCCUGGGCCUGCGGUGGAACUCAGGCACAGCGGGAGUGAAUGCCCCCCUACACUCCUCUUCCACUUGGUCCACAGGCCUCCCACUCCCUUACCUAGGCCUGAAAUUCAGUGCCUUGCCUUCCUCCAGAUGGAGAGUGAAGGGGCCACACAGGGCCACUGCUGGGGUGGUUCUCCAGAUUGGCGAAGGUAACCUAUGUAAACAUCCCUGCCCUGGCCUAGAUGUGGGGCUGUCACUGUGGGAGGUCGCCUAGGAUUUGCCUCAAAUCAGGAGAGCAGGUUGUCCCUGUUCUUACUCCAUCCUCCCCCAACCUGGGGGAAGAGGCCCUGGUUUAGGGGCUGGGGAGGGGAGAAGGAAAGCCAAAGGUAAGGGUGGGUGGAGUGGGGACCCUGUGGGCUGGUGGGAUGAGACCCACAGAGGGCAGGAAUGUCAGCACCAAAGGCAGGAGGACCUGGACUGUCCCAAGCAGAACCACAGGAUCAGGCAGACCUUACUUCUGUUUCUAAGCAAAACACAGAUGCUGUGCCCAGAACACCACAGGGGAGAAGGGGUGAGCUGUAACCUCAAAGACGUUCUCAAUCUAAAAACAAACGAAAAACCAUCCCAGGUUGCUUUUUACUUCUGGAUGAUGCUUCUGGAACCCUAGGAUUCCUCUCUGUACCUGACUGUCCUGCUUUUCUGCGUGAGGCAAAAAGCAUGUCAUGGAAUCUGGGGUUUGUUAGGGGCCUAGAAGAAUCAGAGGCAGCGGAGGGAGGCGUGUGGGCUCUGCGUUCCUGCAUGCCUGGGGCGCCGUGCUGCCGGCUGCCUUCCCUGCAGGGUGAGAAUAGACAGUGUCCAAGACAAGUGGCUACUGUCCACUUACGAGCUUAAUGCUUUUAAUUUCUGGCCCUCCAGCCUGUCUGGAUCAUUGAUCUGUCUUGGCCAGGGGGAAUCGUGCUAUACAAUUUCAAGUAAGCUGCUCGGCCUACAGCUAAACACCGGAUAAAUGCCUUGUCUACCAGCAAGGCAGCUGCUUGGAUGAUUGAACUUUCCCCAGCCCCCAUAUUUAAAAUGGCACAUCCCUGCUCAGAAGACCUAAUUGGCUUUCUCUGUCCUCCACUGUCAGAUGGUCCAGGCUUCUGUGGCCUCCAACUCGUGGCUGGGCCCACCCACUACCAUCACCCAACUGUAUCCCUACAGGCAG